Molecule: non-coding RNA, 106 nt
Filed under: Heterosigma akashiwo
Lineage: Eukaryota; Raphidophyceae; Chattonellales; Chattonellaceae
Source: RNAcentral
AAAAUACGAAUUGCAUUAAAGAUGCAACAAACCGUGAACAAAGCAGACGCGCUAGAUGCAAAAAGUGCCGCCACAAGCGAGAGCUCAAGUUGCUGGUGGUUUAGCC